This 760-nucleotide ribosomal RNA is filed under the name Pseudomonas sp. FPVC5. RNAcentral's name for it is "bacterial SSU rRNA". It matches the Rfam family "Bacterial small subunit ribosomal RNA", at positions 35 to 786 of the family's 1533-position model. The record is from RNAcentral. Lineage: Bacteria; Pseudomonadati; Pseudomonadota; Gammaproteobacteria; Pseudomonadales; Pseudomonadaceae.
GAUUACGAGAUAGCUAAACAUGCAAGUCGAGCGGAUGAGGGAGCUUGCUCCUGGAUUCAGCGGCGGACGGGUGAGUAAUGCCUAGGAAUCUGCCUGGUAGUGGGGGAUAACGUCCGGAAACGGGCGCUAAUACCGCAUACGUCCUGAGGGAGAAAGUGGGGGAUCUUCGGACCUCACGCUAUCAGAUGAGCCUAGGUCGGAUUAGCUAGUUGGUGGGGUAAAGGCCUACCAAGGCGACGAUCCGUAACUGGUCUGAGAGGAUGAUCAGUCACACUGGAACUGAGACACGGUCCAGACUCCUACGGGAGGCAGCAGUGGGGAAUAUUGGACAAUGGGCGAAAGCCUGAUCCAGCCAUGCCGCGUGUGUGAAGAAGGUCUUCGGAUUGUAAAGCACUUUAAGUUGGGAGGAAGGGCAGUAAGUUAAUACCUUGCUGUUUUGACGUUACCAACAGAAUAAGCACCGGCUAACUUCGUGCCAGCAGCCGCGGUAAUACGAAGGGUGCAAGCGUUAAUCGGAAUUACUGGGCGUAAAGCGCGCGUAGGUGGUUCAGCAAGUUGGAUGUGAAAUCCCCGGGGCUCAACCUGGGGAACUGCAUCCAAAACUACUGAGCUAGAGUACGGUAGAGGGGUGGUGGAAUUUCCUGUGUAGCGGUGAAAUGCGUAGAUUUUGGAAUGAACAUCAGUGGCGGAUGCGACCACCUUGAACUGAUACUUGACACUGAUGUGCGAAAGCGUGGGGGAGCAAACAGGAUUAGAUACA